UGCCAGACUCCUACGGGAGGCAGCAGUGGGGAAUAUUGCACAAUGGGGGAAACCCUGAUGCAGCGACGCCGCGUGAGUGAAGAAGUAUUUCGGUAUGUAAAGCUAUAUCAGCAGGGAAGAAAAUGACGGUACCUGAGUAAGAAGCCCCGGCUAACUACGUGCCAGCAGCCGCGGUAAUACGUAGGGGGCAAGCGUUAUCCGGAUUUACUGGGUGUAAAGGGAGCGUAGACGGCCAGACAAGUCUGAAGUGAAAAUCCAGCGCUUAACGUUGGAAGUGCUUUGGAAACUGCCGGGCUAGAGUGCAGGAGGGGCAGGCGGAAUUCCUAGUGUAGCGGUGAAAUGCGUAGAUAUUAGGAGGAACACCAGUGGCGAGGGCGGCCUGCGGGACUGCAACUGACGUUGAGGCUCGAAGGCGUGGGGAGCAAACAGGAUUAGAUACCCCGGUA
This 446-nucleotide ribosomal RNA is filed under the name uncultured bacterium. RNAcentral describes it as "bacterial SSU rRNA". It matches the Rfam family "Bacterial small subunit ribosomal RNA", at positions 329 to 792 of the family's 1533-position model. The record is from RNAcentral.